Molecule: ribosomal RNA, 250 nt
Filed under: uncultured bacterium
Lineage: Bacteria
Also listed under: 1 other name
Description: partial 16S ribosomal RNA
Rfam family: Bacterial small subunit ribosomal RNA
Source: RNAcentral
GACGAACGCUGGCGGCGUGCUUAACACAUGCAAGUCGAACGGAAAGGCCCUGCUUUUGUGGGGUGCUCGAGUGGCGAACGGGUGAGUAACACGUGAGUAACCUGCCCUUGACUUUGGGAUAACUUCAGGAAACUGGGGCUAAUACCGGAUAGGAGCUCCUGCUGCAUGGUGGGGGUUGGAAAGUUUCGGCGGUUGGGGAUGGACUCGCGGCUUAUCAGCUUGUUGGUGGGGUAGUGGCUUACCAAGGCUU